AGGAUGCUUCAAACUGCAGAGAUC
RNAcentral lists this non-coding RNA (24 nucleotides) under Arabidopsis thaliana (thale cress). Lineage: Eukaryota; Viridiplantae; Streptophyta; Magnoliopsida; Brassicales; Brassicaceae. The record is from RNAcentral.